This 433-nucleotide ribosomal RNA is filed under the name uncultured bacterium. RNAcentral's name for it is "partial 16S ribosomal RNA". It matches the Rfam family "Bacterial small subunit ribosomal RNA", at positions 29 to 507 of the family's 1533-position model. The record is from RNAcentral.
AACGAACGCUGGCGGCAUGCCUAACACAUGCAAGUCGAACGAGACCUUCGGGUCUAGUGGCGCACGGGUGCGUAACGCGUGGGAACCUGCCCUUAGGUUCGGAAUAACUCCCCGAAAGGGGUGCUAAUACCGGAUAAUGUCUUCGGACCAAAGAUUUAUCGCCUUUGGAUGGUCCCGCGUUGGAUUAGCUAGUUGGUAGGGUAAAAGCAUACCAAGGCGACGAUCCAUAGCUGGUCUGAGAGGCUGAUCAGCCACACUGGGACUGAGACACGGCCCAGACUCCUACGGGAGGCAGCAGUGGGGAAUAGUGGACAAUGGGCGAAAGCCUGAUCCAGCAAUGACGCGUGAGUGAUGAAGGCCUUAGGGUUGUAAAGCUCUUUUACCCGGGAUGAUAAUGACAGUACCGGGAGAAUAAGCUCCGGCUAACUACGUG